CACGAAACCGACAAACGUUAUUCGGAAUUAUUGGGCUUAAAGGGUGCGUAGGCGGUGCGGUAAGGGCGGUGUGAAAGCCCACGGCUCAACCGUGGAAUUGCGCUGCAUACUGCCGUGCUGGAGUGAGACAGGGGUAAGCGGAACUGAUGGUGGAGCGGUGAUAUGCGAUGAUAUCAUCAGGAACUCCGGUGGCGAAAGCGGCUUACUGGGUCUUAUCUGACGCUGAGGCACGAAAGCUAGGGUAUUGAACGGG
This 253-nucleotide ribosomal RNA is filed under the name uncultured bacterium. Its description in RNAcentral is "partial 16S ribosomal RNA". It matches the Rfam family "Bacterial small subunit ribosomal RNA", at positions 524 to 776 of the family's 1533-position model. The record is from RNAcentral.